AGCUGACAUCCAAAAUGGCACCAAAGGGGAAAAAAUGAAGUCUUUCUUUCGCCUUUCACUCGUCCCCCCUUCUUCCAAAGAGUUUAGUUUCGGCUUUAGAAGCAGCUGCCACACAGACAUUUAAGUUAUUCCACGCAGUAAAGACCAGGCAGAUUUUUCUCUGUCCGCUACAUCAAAUAGAAAGCUGGCUGCCCAGAGUUGAUUAACUACUUUCAUGCAAGAAUCUCGGGAAGCCAAGCAAAAGCAGACCUCACAUUUAUGAGUAGGAAUAUGCUGUCUCUCAGUCCCAACGCUUCACUCUGCCACCUUCCCUCGCCUUAAGUGGCGUUUGUCUACAGUCUGAGGACUUUGUUAGCUUGUUUUGUGUCCCUAACAGAGCUUUCUACCGAGCCCAAUAAGCGUGGUCCUAUGAGGGCUCCAACUAGCCAAAACCAAGGGAAGCAAAUAGGUAUUUUUCUCAGGCAACAUAACAAGGUCAUGGAGCCAGGUAAAUACACAGCAUUUUUCCAGGCGAGUUCAGGAGGGCAGCGAGUAGAUGGAACAUAUGGUGAUAGAUGGCCCAGCCCUGGUGGAUUUAAAGGCAAGAUGGUGCCUUGUGAAGAAUAAAAACACGGACACUGGCUCCCAAAUGUGCCACUACUUUCCCCUGCGUCCCCGUGGCUGGCUGCUGUCCCAAGCAUGUCAGUAUGGGGCUGGGAAAGAGCAGCGAACCCCUUUGCCUUGGGAUGGUGGGAACAAGAGCUCGCCCGCUCAGCUCCCUUCGGGGGCUUUUGGGAGUGAAUGCAAAGGCUCCCUCUGGGUUUCACUCCGCUGGACGGGCUCCAGCCACACACACACACACCCCUGGCAGGGGCUUCCUUCCCACACAAAGCGGCUGCCCACACUCCAGGAAACAGGAAUAAAGCCUUUGCUUUGAAUAUGGGGUAGCUAGGAAACAGCUAGCAGCCUGCGAAGACGGAAUUCCCAACGUGUAAAACGGAGCUAUUGAGAGAGUGCAAUAAGGCGUGAGGGGGAACUAAUCUCCCCAUUUACAUGUUUGUGGCAAUUUUAUCUAAAUGAAUUUUAAUGCUAAACGAGGGAUAAUUCCCUAUUUGUAACCCGUUUACUUCUCUUUCCUGUGCCCCCAAAGCCGCCUAAGAUCAUGCGAUGAACAAUAACAAUAAAAAUACUGUCAAGCAUA
Long non-coding RNA from Chrysemys picta bellii (western painted turtle), 1180 nucleotides. RefSeq lists it as uncharacterized. The record is from RefSeq and is a predicted model, not a curated record. Lineage: Eukaryota; Metazoa; Chordata; Testudines; Emydidae.